Molecule: ribosomal RNA, 450 nt
Filed under: uncultured bacterium
Lineage: Bacteria
Description: partial 16S ribosomal RNA
Rfam family: Bacterial small subunit ribosomal RNA
Source: RNAcentral
GUGGGGAAUUUUGGACAAUGGGGGCAACCCUGAUCCAGCAAUGCCGCGUGCAGGAAGAAGGCCUUCGGGUUGUAAACUGCUUUUGUACGGAACGAAACGGUCCUGGUUAAUACCUGGGGCUAAUGACGGUACCGUAAGAAUAAGCACCGGCUAACUACGUGCCAGCAGCCGCGGUAAUACGUAGGGUGCAAGCGUUAAUCGGAAUUACUGGGCGUAAAGCGUGCGCAGGCGGUUUUGUAAGACAGGCGUGAAAUCCCCGGGCUCAACCUGGGAAUGGGGCUUGUGACUGCAAGGCUGGAGUGCGGCAGAGGGGGAUGGAAUUCCGCGUGUAGCAGUGAAAUGCGUAGAUAUGCGGAGGAACACCGAUGGCGAAGGCAAUCCCCUGGGCCUGCACUGACGCUCAUGCACGAAAGCGUGGGGAGCAAACAGGAUUAGAUACCCCGGUAGUCC